GAAACCCCGUACUCGGGUCCACAUUGAGUCGCCCGACCAAUUCAGGUCUCAUAUUGGAUAAGAUUCCCGUAGUAACCUCGAUAUUCACGUAAUUGGAUCCAAUUGGUUCUCGCGUCAGAUUAGCUAAGGCCCAUAGUAAGACCUGGAUUUUCUCGUAAUUAGACUGCAUUGGGUUGCCCGACCAAUGCAGGUCUCAUAUUGGGUAAGAGGAUCCGGAUU
RNAcentral lists this long non-coding RNA (219 nucleotides) under Physcomitrium patens. RNAcentral describes it as "long non-coding RNA (PPAT_LNC002762)". The record is from RNAcentral. Lineage: Eukaryota; Viridiplantae; Streptophyta; Bryopsida; Funariales; Funariaceae.